UCCCUGGUGGUCUAGUGGCUAGGAUUCGGCGCUUUCACAGCCGCGGCCCAGGUUCGAUUUCGGGUCAGAGAG
This is a transfer RNA of Loxodonta africana (African savanna elephant), 72 nucleotides long. It matches the Rfam family "tRNA". Rfam says of the family: Transfer RNA (tRNA) molecules are approximately 80 nucleotides in length. Their secondary structure includes four short double-helical elements and three loops (D, anti-codon, and T loops). NCBI's taxonomy places the organism in Eukaryota, Metazoa, Chordata, Mammalia, Proboscidea, Elephantidae. The record is from Rfam.